Non-coding RNA from Cyprinus carpio (common carp), 655 nucleotides. Lineage: Eukaryota; Metazoa; Chordata; Actinopteri; Cypriniformes; Cyprinidae. The record is from the annotation of a RefSeq genome assembly.
GAGCAGAACAGAACACAAUCUUCAUCAUCACACAAGACAAAGCAACAACAAUGAACAACAUCAUUAUCUUCGUCUGGACUCUGUGUAUAUGUAUUCAAGGUUUCAAUGGGCAGGUGAUUGUGACUCAGAUCCCUUCUGUAAAAAUGGUUCAAAUUGGUGAUUCAGUCACUUUAAACUGCAAAAUAAACUUAGCAGUGAGAGAUGCCUGUCCAGGUUCAUAUACUUGUAUGGGUUGGUACCAGAAGAAACCUGGAGAGGCUCCUAAACUCAUGAUUCAUUCUUCAAACCAAAGAAGGUCAAACACUCCAUCUAGAUUCAGUGGCAGCGGAUCCAGAACUGAUUUCACUCUGACCAUCAGUGGAGUCCAGACUGAAGAUACAGGAGAUUAUUACUGUCAGGGAGACCACAACAUCCACAGUAAAGAAGUGUCUGCACAGUGAUAAAGAGUUGUACAAAAACCUCCGUCAGUCAGAGUCACAGUGACUGCACUGAUACAGCUGAGAGAUACUGCAGCUGCUAAUGGGAGGAUCACAAAUAUCACAAUGACUUGAUUUAUCAACAUUUUCUGAUACUGUAAACCCUCUAUGGUACAGUGUUUCCAUAUUUGCUUGUUGCAAAUCCAUAUUUGCUUGUUGCAACAAAUUAAAAUACCCAA